CCUACGGGGGGCUGCAGUGGGGAAUAUUGGACAAUGGGGGGAACCCUGAUCCAGCCAUGCCGCGUGUGUGAAGAAGGCCCUCGGGUUGUAAAGCACUUUCAGUGAGGAAGAACGCCUGGUGGUUAAUACCCAUCAGGAAAGACAUCACUCACAGAAGAAGCACCGGCUAACUCCGUGCCAGCAGCCGCGGUAAUACGGAGGGUGCGAGCGUUAAUCGGAAUUACUGGGCGUAAAGCGCGCGUAGGUGGCUUGAUAAGCCGGUUGUGAAAGCCCCGGGCUCAACCUGGGAACGGCAUCCGGAACUGUCAAGCUAGAGUGCAGGAGAGGAAGGUGGAAUUCCCGGUGUAGCGGUGAAAUGCGUAGAGAUCGGGAGGAAUACCAGUGGCGAAGGCGGCCUUCUGGACUGACACUGACACUGAGGUGCGAAAGCGUGGGUAGCAAACAGGAUUAGAUACCCCAGUAGUC
This 465-nucleotide ribosomal RNA is filed under the name Vreelandella stevensii. RNAcentral's name for it is "partial 16S ribosomal RNA". It matches the Rfam family "Bacterial small subunit ribosomal RNA", at positions 338 to 795 of the family's 1533-position model. The record is from RNAcentral. Lineage: Bacteria; Pseudomonadati; Pseudomonadota; Gammaproteobacteria; Oceanospirillales; Halomonadaceae.